This is a long non-coding RNA of Canis lupus familiaris (dog), 1143 nucleotides long. RefSeq lists it as uncharacterized. Lineage: Eukaryota; Metazoa; Chordata; Mammalia; Carnivora; Canidae. The transcript is spliced from 3 exons. The record is from RefSeq and is a predicted model, not a curated record.
ACCGCUGCCCUCGCACGCCCAGGGGUCCUUCCUCCUUUUUCCUGCCUUUGUUGGAAGCAGCGACGGAGCUGCGAGUGCGUGCAAGCUCACCUUUGCUCCUUAUGAGCUUCCAGCAUUUGCAUCGAAGCGCACGCAGCCCGCUGUGCCCUCAGGACCCGUCCCGAGGGUCCUGCCCAUCUGUCCUGCUGUCUGCUCAUCACGCUGCCGCUAAGGCUUGGCCGUGGGUGCAGGGGCUUCUUUUGGGGAGGUGAGCCCCCUGCUAGGGACCUGCCCACUCUGGCCCUGGGAGUUUGGGGGCCAGAGGGCAGCCAGGUGAACAGGCCCCGGGGCCGGGAUGAAAGUCGUGGCAGUGGAUGUCCUCCUCCUUUGAACUCGGAGGAGUCGGGGCAAGAGGAGAGCGGCAGAUUUGGGGGUGCGACAAGCCCGGCACCCUCCCGCUCCCCAUCCUCAGCUGGAGCGGCCCCUCCCGACCCAUCCCAGGCGGAAAGCACCAGCCGCUGGGAGUUCCUUAGAUCAUUGGCGGUGGACUGUGGACAGAAGGCCCUGGGAGCAUGGCAGGACCUGGGCUACCUCCAGAAGACAGAAAGAUCCCGGGAACUAGAAUGAAAGCCCCACUAGGACCAGGGUUUUGCCUUUUAUCCUUCACUGCUGGAUGCCCAUCCUUGCCUCCAGAAUGAGUGUCGCGUUGUGCCAUUUGCUAAGGACGUGCCGCAUUUGUCUUUAAUUAAGAUCAGAAAUAAGGCUGCCCUCUCCCUUUGUGGUUGAUUUUGGUAUGCUACCCUUAACUGCUGUCUUAUGGCCAAGGAAAUCAUUCACUCGGCGCAGAUUUGAGAAAAAUGAGAAUGGUUGGAGAAACGCAUCCAUUCUCCACAUCUCUAGCCACAACACCCUCAAGCCCAGGCACUGUAUAAAAAUUCACAUGCAAUGUUCUGUUAGUUGGUAAGUUCUUCAGAAAUGGUUGGAGAUUUCUGCUCCCUAAUUUUCAAUCCGUUGGGGGGUCUGCUAUUAAUGGGUUAAUAAUAAAUGCUGUGGGUGGGGCCUGACCAAACACUUGCAGGUGUGAAAGACGCAUCAGCUUGUUUUUUACCCCCUUGCCUUGUAAUUUCCAUGGAGAGAAGUGAAUAAACCAUGACCAAAGAGAAA